Molecule: non-coding RNA, 93 nt
Organism: Coprinopsis sp. MPI-PUGE-AT-0042
Lineage: Eukaryota; Fungi; Basidiomycota; Agaricomycetes; Agaricales; Psathyrellaceae
Source: the annotation of a GenBank genome assembly
ACAUUAAUGGGGUAGUGGUAACCUGGGUCGUUGAUUUAUUCGGAAUAAAUCCUGUUUGUCGACCCGCCGGGGGUUCGAUUCCCUCUUGAUGUA